RNAcentral lists this ribosomal RNA (253 nucleotides) under uncultured bacterium. RNAcentral describes it as "partial 16S ribosomal RNA". It matches the Rfam family "Bacterial small subunit ribosomal RNA", at positions 524 to 776 of the family's 1533-position model. The record is from RNAcentral.
GACGGAGGAUGCAAGCGUUAUCCGGAAUUCUUGGGCGUAAAGCGUCCGCAGGUGGACAUACAAGUCUGCUGUCAAAGUGCAGAGCUUAACUCUGUAAAGGCGGUGGAAACUGUAGGUCUUGAGUAUGGUAGGGGUAGAGGGAAUUCCCGGUGUAGCGGUGAAAUGCGUAGAUAUCGGGAAGAACACCAGUGGCGAAAGCGCUCUACUGGGCCAUAACUGACACUGAGGGACGAAAGCUAGGGGAGCGAAAGGG